Molecule: ribosomal RNA, 253 nt
Filed under: uncultured bacterium
Lineage: Bacteria
Description: partial 16S ribosomal RNA
Rfam family: Bacterial small subunit ribosomal RNA
Source: RNAcentral
UACGGAGGGUGCAAGCGUUGUCCGGAUUUAUUGGGUUUAAAGGGUGCGUAGGCGGGUCUGUAAGUCUGGUUUGAAAGUCAGCGGCUCAACCGUUGAGGGUGGCUGGAUACUGCAGGUCUUGAAAUUGUUGGAGGCAGCCGGAACGGAUCGUGUAGCGGUGAAAUGCAUAGAUAUGAUCCAGAACACCAAUUGCGUAGGCAGGCUGCUACGACUGAUUUGACGCUGAGGCACGAGAGCAUGGGGAGCAAACAGG